RNAcentral lists this long non-coding RNA (599 nucleotides) under Bemisia tabaci. Its description in RNAcentral is "lncRNA ENSSSA1NGG003754". Lineage: Eukaryota; Metazoa; Arthropoda; Insecta; Hemiptera; Aleyrodidae. The record is from RNAcentral.
AAUAUCAGAGAAGGACAUAGGCUUGGCGAAAACAGGAUGAGCCAGUUAUCUAUCGAUUUUGAAGAUAGACUCCGAAAACUUGAAAGUGAACGCUGUGAACUUUGAAUAAGCAAACAUCGCAAACUUUGAUCAUUGAGAAUUUAGAACGAGAAAUUGACCAGUAUCGAAAGAGCCUUGUCCAGUCUCAGCAAGACCUCACGGAGCAAAAAGCUCUUUAUAAUCAUAUGAAACUAGCACAUGAGCAAGCUGAGCGAGCUCUUAGAGAUUGUCAUAGUAAUCAAGGCCACUUGAACAAAGAGCUUUCUGCCAACCUAGAUAGAAUUCAAGCCUUAGAAAGUGAAGUUACCACUUUAGAUAGAGAAUUGCAAAAUGUAAAAAUUGAGAGGAAUACUCUUCGCACCAAUUUAAAACAACUAGACCAACAAAAAGAUUUCUUACUGUGUAAAUUAGAUGACAAAACUGAAAGAAUCGCAUCCAUGGAAAAGGAAAUUAUGAAGAAUGAAACCGUAUUGCGGCAGUACGAGACUACUAUCGCAGAACUUCAUGCCAAAUACAACUUUCAGAGAAUCAUCGCUCCUGUGAUUGCGCGCCUCGUUCUC